RNAcentral lists this long non-coding RNA (1955 nucleotides) under Homo sapiens (human). RNAcentral describes it as "SLC12A5 and MMP9 antisense RNA 1 (SLC12A5-AS1)". Lineage: Eukaryota; Metazoa; Chordata; Mammalia; Primates; Hominidae. The record is from RNAcentral.
ACACUUUGCGUUCCGCGGCCCCGGCCCCUUGGUUUCCUAGUCCUGGCUCCAUUCCCCUCUCAGGCCUAGGGCUGGGACCCCUCCCCGCCCCCGGUCUUGGCCCUGCCCCCUUCAACAGACGGUCCGCCCCGGCCCCUCCCCCUCGUCCCGCCCGGCCCUGGCAGGCCCCGCCCCCUGCGGCCUCUACCUUUGACGUCUUCCCCCGGGAGGUGGCGGGGGUCUGCGACCGAAUGCCGGCGGGACUCUGGGUCAGGGCUUCUGGCGGGCCCUGCGGGGGGCAGCGAGGUGACCGUGAACCUGCGGCUCAUGGCGCGGAAAGGAGCCAGGCGGCCGCGGCAAGGUCCGGGAUCGCACAAGUGGCUGCAACCAGGCUCUAGGAGGGAGAAAGAGCGGAUCCCCCAACCCCCUCCGCCCGCCCGCCCCCCGCGAGACGCGGCGCCGCGCAGGGUCCUAGUGCCCGCUGUGCGAAGGGUUCCUGAAUCUGGCCACUUCGCUGGGAGGCCCUGGGCUCCCCAGUGCCACCCGAAGGGCCUGAGGAGGCCAUCUGCAGAAUCUCACUCUGUCGCCCAGGCCAGAGUACAGUGUCAUGAUCUUGGCUCACUGCAACCUCCACCUCCCAGUUCAAGAAAUUCUCCUACCUCAGCCUCCCAAGUAGCUGGGAUUACAAGCACAGUGCCUGGCACAUUAUCGGCACUUGAUGACUGUUGUCUAAUAACUGAGCUUCCAUACAAACCACCUGCCGUCCUGUACUGAAGGAGAAAGAGCUUCCAGCCGGGGAGGCAGGAAAUCUGGGUCCUGGUCUUGGUUGCAUCCCUGACUUCCUAAAUGACCUGGAGAAGGCCUCUGCCUCUGCUGGGAUCUUGUCUGUGCUGGGGCAUUUGUUUCCAUUUCCAAGGGCUUUUUCUUCCUCGCUCAGAAUUUGACCACUCACUAAGAGGAGCUUAGUGUGGUGUCUCACGAAGGGAUCCUCCUCAGCCCUCACCUCGGUACUGGAAGACGUCGUGCGUGUCCAAAGGCACCCCGGGGAACAUCCGGUCCACCUCGCUGGCGCUCCGGGGAUCCACCAUCUGCGCCUUCACGUCGAACCUGCGGGCAGGCGCGGAGGAGACAGGUGCUGAGCCGGCUAGCGGACGGACCGACGGCGCCCGGGCUCCCCCUGCCGGCGGCCGCGGCGGCGCUCACCUCCAGAGGCGCCGCCCGCUGAACAGCAGCAUCUUCCCCCUGCCACUCCGGAGGGCCCCGGUCACCUGGGCCACGUCGGCUCCCAGGCCCAGCUUGUCCAGACGCCUCGGGCCCAGCACCGACGCGCCUGUGUACACCCACACCUGGCGCCCUGCAGGGGAGGAGGGUCACGUCGGUUUGGGGGCGCAGAGGGAGCACGUACUCCUAGAACGCGAGGAGGGAGAUUCCGGCGAGGCCUUUCCUAGCCCGCGUGCCCGCAGUCCCUGCAACCCAGGGGCAGAGGCGCUGGGUAGAGCGACGCGAGGGCGUGGAGAGGAGGGGGCAGAAACUCAGCCGCCCCUACGUUUGCUAAACUGCGUCCGCCAGGGGGCGUAUUUUUCUAAAACGCACAAGACGUUUCGUGGGUUAUCGAUGGUCUCUUGAGCCUCCUUGACUGAUGGGGAUUGACCGGGCGGGGGAGGGAAAGUAGGUAACUAACCAGAGAAGAAGAAAAGCUUCUUGGAGAGCCGCUCCUCAAAGACCGAGUCCAGCUUGCGGGGCAGCGCGGGCCACUUGUCGGCGAUAAGGAAGGGGCCCUGCGGCCGGCUCCCCCUGCCCUCAGAGAAUCGCCAGUACUUCCUGAGAAAGCGAGGAGGGAAAGGACGGGCUCUAAGCCUUGGACACAGGGCCAGUGGGCGGGAAGGGACGGGCAGCCCCUCCGCAAAGCCCCCUCCCGCAUCCACACAACCCCGCCUCCUCACCCAUCCUUGAACAAAUACAGCUGGUUCCCAAUC